UAAAUCUCUCUCUGUCCCAGCAUCACCGGACCAAAACUGCAGCCCCCUGUGUCCCUGCGGUUACCAGCCACUCCACUGAGGACUUUCUCCUUCAACACCAGGGAAAAUGAGACUUUGGCUCCAUUUACUUUUCCUUGUGGUGGCUCUGGAAGGGGCCCGGUCACAGGUUGUUCUGACCCAGUCCGGCCCGGAAAUGAAGAAGCCCGGAGAAUCCACUCGGCUGAAAUGCGCCGUGAGCGGGUUCACUAUCACCAGCUAUUACAUGGAUUGGAUCAGACAGGAGCCGGGAAAGGGGCUGGAGUGGCUGGUCAGCUACUGGAAACCAGGGAGCGAGUAUUAUUCUCCCACCAUCAAGGGGCGAUUCACAGCCUCCAAGGACAGCUCCAAUUUCUACCUACAAAUGAACAGCUUGAAACCCGAGGACACCGCCCUGUAUUACUGCGCGAGAGACACAGUGAGGGGAAGCCGGUCUGGGCUCAGACAAAAACCUCCCCCUGCAGAGACUGGGGAAGGGAUUUCCUGGGGGUGGCGCUUUCGACCCACAGCAGUGAGAAGAGAGACUCCCCUUGGCGGGAUCCCACACAGCUGCCAGCGGGGAGAGAGGCUCUGCUGACUCCAUCUGCCCCCGGGGAGCGCAGGGAGCAGAUGCUCUGUGGCUAUUUUAGCGAAGAAGGAGCAGGUGCAUCCGCCCUCACUCUGCGAUGCUCCCCACGAUUCACCAGGGCUUUCUGGUCAGCCGGUCUCCAGUGCAAGGCUCCCUCCUUCUCCCAUUGAAGGGAGAAGCUGAGCCCCGAAGGAAGGUCAGUGGCAAUGCUGAGCCCUGAAUGAAGAUGAUUGACUGGAAUGGAGGGGUCACUCAUCUAGAGGUGACCUUCCCCCUCAGCCCAUGGAUCAUUCUCUGUGGGUGAAAUUCACCCCAGUGUGGAGGGCCUAGCACAAGGGCCUCUGCCUGUACUGUGUCCCGCCUAGCCCGAGGAAUAUCGUCACCCCAUGCAGCCGUUUAGAAGUGUACAAUCCCGAUUUCCCUGCCUUCCCCCUUCUGUUUACACUUAGGCCUGGGCCAGUUGGGUGGGAUAUGGGCCUGUUUUCUUGCACACUCAUCCUGUGCCUCGUACACCUUUGAUUAGGGACAGUUUGGGGUCCCCACACCAUUGCUGACAUCAGCCAAUGUGCAGAGUGGGGGAGAAUCCAUGUGAGUCAGGUGAGCAGAGACAGCAAGACUAAGGCAAUUGCUGAGUGUUCCCAGGGCACAAAGAACCAACCUUUUCAACCUGAACCAUCAGGACCCAUCCUAGAGAGACAGCGAAGUGGCGCCAUUGAGCAAACAAUUCCCCGAGCUGAGAAGCAGGGGCUCAAAUGGACACCAGUGUU
Non-coding RNA from Chelonia mydas (Green sea turtle), 1371 nucleotides. Lineage: Eukaryota; Metazoa; Chordata; Testudines; Cheloniidae. The record is from the annotation of a RefSeq genome assembly.